RNAcentral lists this ribosomal RNA (499 nucleotides) under uncultured bacterium. RNAcentral describes it as "bacterial SSU rRNA". It matches the Rfam family "Bacterial small subunit ribosomal RNA", at positions 16 to 507 of the family's 1533-position model. The record is from RNAcentral.
AUCAUGGCUCAGGAUGAACGCUAGCUACAGGCUUAACACAUGCAAGUCGAGGGGCAGCGCAGUGUAGCAAUACAUGGGCGGCGACCGGCGCACGGGUGCGUAACGCGUAUCCAAUCUUCCCGUUACUCAGGGAUAGCCUUCCGAAAGGGAGAUUAAUACCCGAUGGGAUGCAUUUCCGGCAUCGGAGAUGCAUUAAAGAUUUUAUCGGUGACGGAUGAGGAUGCGUACGAUUAGCUUGUUGGCGGGGUAACGGCCCACCAAGGCUACGAUCGUUAGGGGUUCUGAGAGGAAGGUCCCCCACACUGGAACUGAGACACGGUCCAGACUCCUACGGGAGGCAGCAGUGAGGAAUAUUGGUCAAUGGGCGGGAGCCUGAACCAGCCAAGUAGCGUGAAGGAUGACUGCCCUACGGGUUGUAAACUUCUUUUGUUUGGGAAUAAAAGACGCUACGUGUAGCGUUGUGCAUGUACCUUACGAAUAAGCAUCGGCUAAUUCCGUG